GACGAACGCUGGCGGCGUGCCUAAUACAUGCAAGUAGAACGCUGAAGCUUGGUGCUUGCACCGAGCGGAUGAGUUGCGAACGGGUGAGUAACGCGUAGGUAACCUGCCUGGUAGCGGGGGAUAACUAUUGGAAACGAUAGCUAAUACCGCAUAAGAGUAGAUGUUGCAUGAGAUUUGCUUAAAAGGUGCAAUUGCAUCACUACCAGGUGGACCUGCGUUGUAUUAGCUAGUUGGUGAGGUAACGGCUCACCAAGGCAACGAUACAUAGCCGACCUGAGAGGGUGAUCGGCCACACUGGGACUGAGACACGGCCCAGACUCCUACGGGAGGCAGCAGAAGGGAAUCUUCGGCAAUGGACGGAAGUCUGACCGAGCAACGCCGCGUGAGUGAAGAAGGUUUUCGGAUCGUAAAGCUCUGUUGUAAGAGAAGAACGAGUGUGAGAGUGGAAAGUUCACACUGUGACGGUAUCUUACCAGAAAGGGACGGCUAACUACGUG
This 497-nucleotide ribosomal RNA is filed under the name uncultured bacterium. Its description in RNAcentral is "partial 16S ribosomal RNA". It matches the Rfam family "Bacterial small subunit ribosomal RNA", at positions 28 to 507 of the family's 1533-position model. The record is from RNAcentral.